Molecule: ribosomal RNA, 491 nt
Filed under: uncultured bacterium
Lineage: Bacteria
Description: partial 16S ribosomal RNA
Rfam family: Bacterial small subunit ribosomal RNA
Source: RNAcentral
AGUGAACGCUGGCGGUAGGCCUAACACAUGCAAGUCGAACGGCAGCACAGUAAGAGCUUGCUCUUACGGGUGGCGAGUGGCGGACGGGUGAGGAAUACAUCGGAAUCUACUUUUUCGUGGGGGAUAACGUAGGGAAACUUACGCUAAUACCGCAUACGACCUACGGGUGAAAGCAGGGGAUCUUCGGACCUUGCGCGAUUGAAUGAGCCGAUGUCGGAUUAGCUAGUUGGCGGGGUAAAGUCCCACCAAGGCGACGAUCCGUAGCUGGUCUGAGAGGAUGAUCAGCCACACUGGAACUGAGACACGGUCCAGACUCCUACGGGAGGCAGCAGUGGGGAAUAUUGGACAAUGGGCGCAAGCCUGAUCCAGCCAUACCGCGUGGGUGAAGAAGGCCUUCGGGUUGUAAAGCCCUUUUGUUGGGAAAGAAAAGCAGCAGGUUAAUACCCCGCUGUUCUGACGGUACCCAAAGAAUAAGCACCGGCUAACUUCGU